RNAcentral lists this ribosomal RNA (1746 nucleotides) under Salmonella enterica. Its description in RNAcentral is "partial 23S ribosomal RNA". It matches the Rfam family "Bacterial large subunit ribosomal RNA", at positions 1 to 1773 of the family's 2925-position model. The record is from RNAcentral. Lineage: Bacteria; Pseudomonadati; Pseudomonadota; Gammaproteobacteria; Enterobacterales; Enterobacteriaceae.
GGGUUGUGAGGUUAAGCGACUAAGCGUACACGGUGGAUGCCCUGGCAGUCAGAGGCGAUGAAGGGCGUGCUAAUCUGCGAUAAGCGCCGGUAAGGUGAUAUGAACCGUUAUAACCGGCGAUACCCGAAUGGGGAAACCCAGUGUGAUUCGUCACACUAUCAUUAACUGAAUCCAUAGGUUAAUGAGGCGAACCGGGGGAACUGAAACAUCUAAGUACCCCGAGGAAAAGAAAUCAACCGAGAUUCCCCCAGUAGCGGCGAGCGAACGGGGAGGAGCCCAGAGCCUGAAUCAGCAUGUGUGUUAGUGGAAGCGUCUGGAAAGGCGCGCGAUACAGGGUGACAGCCCCGUACACAAAAGCGUAUGUGCUGUGAGCUCGAUGAGUAGGGCGGGACACGUGGUAUCCUGUCUGAAUAUGGGGGGACCAUCCUCCAAGGCUAAAUACUCCUGACUGACCGAUAGUGAACCAGUACCGUGAGGGAAAGGCGAAAAGAACCCCGGCGAGGGGAGUGAAAAAGAACCUGAAACCGUGUACGUACAAGCAGUGGGAGCACCCUUUGGGGUGUGACUGCGUACCUUUUGUAUAAUGGGUCAGCGACUUAUAUUCUGUAGCAAGGUUAACCGAAUAGGGGAGCCGGAGGGAAACCGAGUCUUAAUUGGGCGUUAAGUUGCAGGGUAUAGACCCGAAACCCGGUGAUCUAGCCAUGGGCAGGUUGAAGGUUGGGUAACACUAACUGGAGGACCGAACCGACUAAUGUUGAAAAAUUAGCGGAUGACCUGUGGCUGGGGGUGAAAGGCCAAUCAAACCGGGAGAUAGCUGGUUCUCCCCGAAAGCUAUUUAGGUAGCGCCUCGUGAAUUCAUCUCCGGGGGUAGAGCACUGUUUCGGCUAGGGGGUCAUCCCGACUUACCAACCCGAUGCAAACUGCGAAUACCGGAGAAUGUUAUCACGGGAGACACACGGCGGGUGCUAACGUCCGUCGUGAAGAGGGAAACAACCCAGACCGCCAGCUAAGGUCCCAAAGUCAUGGUUAAGUGGGAAACGAUGUGGGAAGGCCCAGACAGCCAGGAUGUUGGCUUAGAAGCAGCCAUCAUUUAAAGAAAGCGUAAUAGCUCACUGGUCGAGUCGGCCUGCGCGGAAGAUGUAACGGGGCUAAACCAUGCACCGAAGCUGCGGCAGCGACACUCAGGUGUUGUUGGGUAGGGGAGCGUUCUGUAAGCCUGUGAAGGUGGCCUGUGAGGGUUGCUGGAGGUAUCAGAAGUGCGAAUGCUGACAUAAGUAACGAUAAAGCGGGUGAAAAGCCCGCUCGCCGGAAGACCAAGGGUUCCUGUCCAACGUUAAUCGGGGCAGGGUGAGUCGCCCCCUAAGGCGAGGCCGAAAGGCGUAGUCGAUGGGAAACGGGUUAAUAUUCCCGUACUUGGUGUUACUGCGAAGGGGGGACGGAGAAGGCUAUGUUGGCCGGGCGACGGUUGUCCCGGUUUAAGCGUGUAGGUGUGUGUUCCAGGUAAAUCCGGUUCACUUUAACACUGAGGCGUGAUGACGAGGCACUACGGUGCUGAAGCAACAAAUGCCCUGCUUCCAGGAAAAGCCUCUAAGCAUCAGGUAACAUCAAAUCGUACCCCAAACCGACACAGGUGGUCAGGUAGAGAAUACCAAGGCGCUUGAGAGAACUCGGGUGAAGGAACUAGGCAAAAUGGUGCCGUAACUUCGGGAGAAGGCACGCUGACACGUAGGUGAAGUGAUUUACUCA